This 253-nucleotide ribosomal RNA is filed under the name Salmonella enterica subsp. enterica serovar Cerro. RNAcentral describes it as "partial 23S ribosomal RNA". It matches the Rfam family "Bacterial large subunit ribosomal RNA", at positions 1438 to 1691 of the family's 2925-position model. Lineage: Bacteria; Pseudomonadati; Pseudomonadota; Gammaproteobacteria; Enterobacterales; Enterobacteriaceae. The record is from RNAcentral.
CCCGUACUUGGUGUUACUGCGAAGGGGGGACGGAGAAGGCUAUGUUGGCCGGGCGACGGUUGUCCCGGUUUAAGCGUGUAGGUGUGUGUUCCAGGUAAAUCCGGUUCACUUUAACACUGAGGCGUGACGACGAGGCACUACGGUGCUGAAGCAACAAAUGCCCUGCUUCCAGGAAAAGCCUCUAAGCAUCAGGUAACAUCAAAUCGUACCCCAAACCGACACAGGUGGUCAGGUAGAGAAUACCAAGGCGCUU